Molecule: ribosomal RNA, 274 nt
Filed under: uncultured bacterium
Lineage: Bacteria
Description: partial 16S ribosomal RNA
Rfam family: Bacterial small subunit ribosomal RNA
Source: RNAcentral
AUACUUAGGGUGCAAGCGUUAAUCGGAAUUACUGGGCGUAAAGCGCUCGUAGGCGGCUUGUAAAGUCGGAUGUGAAAUCCCCGGGCUCAACCUGGGAACUGCAUUCGAUACUGGCAAGCUAGAGUAUAGUAGAGGCAAGUGGAAUUUCGGGUGUAGCGGUGAAAUGCGUAGAUAUCCGAAGGAACAUCAGUGGCGAAGGCGACUUGCUGGACUAAUACUGACGCUGAGGAGCGAAAGCGUGGGGAGCAAACGGGAUUAGAAACCCCAGUAGUCC